Molecule: long non-coding RNA, 347 nt
Filed under: Zostera marina
Lineage: Eukaryota; Viridiplantae; Streptophyta; Magnoliopsida; Alismatales; Zosteraceae
Description: long non-coding RNA (ZMAR_LNC000891)
Source: RNAcentral
UCGUUCUUUCUCAGGAGUUGCUCUAGACCCUCUCUGAUGUUCUGUGGGAGGUUCUUUCCUAUUCGUACUUCGUCCCGCCCGAGGGCCACUUGGGUCGUGUGGGAUGCCGGUUCGGGUCUUGCCGUGCGUUCCCGCAUCGAGUGGGGUAGGCCUUCGUCCGACGUCAUUACUUCACCGACCGAAUUGAAGUAGCAUUCGCGCGCCUUCUUCUGGGAUCCCCGGACCGUACACACCCCUGCCUCGGUUGGGAACUUGAGGCACUGAUGGAGUGAUGACAUAACCGCCUGGAAGGCGUGCAGCGCCGUCCUUCCCAGGAUGGCUUUGUAUCCCGAUGUGAAGUUGACGAC